GUAAGGAAUAUUGGUCAAUGGAGGCAACUCUGAACCAGCCAUGCCGCGUGCAGGAAGACGGCCCUCUGGGUUGUAAACUGCUUUUAUCCGGGAAUAAACCUGCCUUCGUGAAGGUAGCUGAAUGUACCGGAAGAAUAAGGAUCGGCUAACUCCGUGCCAGCAGCCGCGGUAAUACGGAGGAUCCAAGCGUUAUCCGGAUUUAUUGGGUUUAAAGGGUGCGUAGGCGGCCUGUUAAGUCAGGGGUGAAAGACGGUGGCUCAACCAUCGCAGUGCCCUUGAUACUGAUGGGCUUGAAUGGACUAGAGGUAGGCGGAAUGUGACAAGUAGCGGUGAAAUGCAUAGAUAUGUCACAGAACACCGAUUGCGAAGGCAGCUUACUAUGGUCCUAUUGACGCUGAGGCACGAAAGCGUGGGGAUCGAACAGGAUUAGAAACCCGUGUAGUCC
RNAcentral lists this ribosomal RNA (445 nucleotides) under uncultured bacterium. RNAcentral's name for it is "partial 16S ribosomal RNA". It matches the Rfam family "Bacterial small subunit ribosomal RNA", at positions 354 to 796 of the family's 1533-position model. The record is from RNAcentral.